UACGGGUGGCUGCAGUCGAGGAUCUUCGGCAAUGGGCGCAAGCCUGACCGAGCGACGCCGCGUGAAGGAUGAAGGCCUUCGGGUUGUAAACUUCUGUCGAGGGGGAUCAAGGGCAACUUGAGUGAUCCCUGGAGGAAGCACGGGCUAAGUUCGUGCCAGCAGCCGCGGUAAGACGAACCGUGCGAACGUUGUUCGGAAUCACUGGGCAUAAAGGGCGCGUAGGCGGCUUAUCAAGUCAGGGGUGAAAUCCGGCAGCUCAACUGUCGAAGUGCCUUUGAUACUGAUGAGCUCGAGGGAGGUAGGGGUAUGUGGAACUUCCGGUGGAGCGGUGAAAUGCGUUGAUAUCGGAAGGAACGCCGGUGGCGAAAGCGACGUACUGGACCUCUUCUGACGCUGAGGCGCGAAAGCUAGGGGAGCAAACGGGAUUAGAUACCCCGGUAGUCCUAGCCCUAAACGUUGGGUACUAGAUAGUGGACUUACAUGGGUUCACUGUCGAAGCAAAUGUGUUAAGUACCCCGCCUGGGGAG
RNAcentral lists this ribosomal RNA (527 nucleotides) under uncultured bacterium. Its description in RNAcentral is "bacterial SSU rRNA". It matches the Rfam family "Bacterial small subunit ribosomal RNA", at positions 340 to 880 of the family's 1533-position model. The record is from RNAcentral.